GCUAUUAGUUUAGAAUUAUUAUAUUACCUAUUAGUUCAUGAGCAUUUUUUCCAAAAUGUCUAACAUGGAUGUAAAACUGUGGCAAUGUAAUAACACAAUAGAAAAAUAUAUGACUACACAAUGGCACUCCAAACUACAUCAGUGCUUAUACGAGCCAUGUCUAUGUGCAGUUUCUUGCACUAAUAACUGAACCUUGUCAUCUUAUCCAAUUUCUAAUGCAUGGUUGAGCUUGACGAAGCAAAAUCCAUACUCUGACCCAUAAAUAGUAUUCUAGCAAUACGUGCAAAUUUAGCUCUUGGUAUCAAAGGCAUAAUGGCCAGGGGAGGG
This 327-nucleotide long non-coding RNA is filed under the name Elaeis guineensis (African oil palm). Its description in RNAcentral is "long non-coding RNA (EGUI_LNC015801)". The record is from RNAcentral. Lineage: Eukaryota; Viridiplantae; Streptophyta; Magnoliopsida; Arecales; Arecaceae.